UCAGGCCUAACACAUGCAAGUCGUACGAGGUGUAAAUAAUUCACUUGUGAAUUGUUUAUUACUACAGUGGCGCACGGGUGAGUAACACGUAAGAACCUGCCUUUUGGAGGGGGAUAACAUAGGGAAACCUUUGCUAAUACCCCAUAAAGCUGAGGAGCUAAAUCGCAUUUGCGGCCAAGAGAGGGGCUUGCGCCUGAUUAGCUAGUUGGGGAGGUAAUGGCUUCCCAAGGCCACGAUCAGUAGUUGGUCUGAGAGGAUGAUCAGCCACACUGGGACUGAGACACGGCCCAGACUCCUACGGGAGGCAGCAGUGAGGAAUUUUCCGCAAUGGGCGAAAGCCUGACGGAGCAAUACCGCGUGAAGGAAGAAGGAUCGUGGUCUGUAAACUUCUUUUCUAGAGAAGAAGAU
Molecule: ribosomal RNA, 408 nt
Filed under: uncultured bacterium
Lineage: Bacteria
Description: bacterial SSU rRNA
Rfam family: Bacterial small subunit ribosomal RNA
Source: RNAcentral